This 253-nucleotide ribosomal RNA is filed under the name uncultured bacterium. Its description in RNAcentral is "partial 16S ribosomal RNA". It matches the Rfam family "Bacterial small subunit ribosomal RNA", at positions 524 to 776 of the family's 1533-position model. The record is from RNAcentral.
UACAGAGGGGGCAAGCGUUGUUCGGAAUUACUGAGCGUAAAGGGCGCGUAGGCGGCCGCCUAAGUCAGACGUGAAAUCCCUCGGCUCAACCGGGGAACUGCGUCUGAUACUGGGUGGCUUGAAUUCGGGAGAGGGAUGCGGAAUUCCAGGUGUAGCGGUGAAAUGCGCAGAUAUCAGGAAGAACACCCGUGGCGAAGGCGGCUCUCUGGGACGGUACUGACGCUGAGACGCGAAAGCGUGGGGAGCGAACAGG